GUCCACGCCGUAAACGAUGUCAACUAGUUGUUGGUCUUAUUAAGAAGAUUAGUGACGAAGCUAACGCGAUAAGUUGACCGCCUGGGGAGUACGGUCGCAAGACUAAAACUCAAAUGAAUUGACGGGGGCCCGCACAAGCGGUGGAGCAUGUGGUUUAAUUCGAUGCAACGCGAAGAACCUUACCAGGUCUUGACAUCCAGAGAAUCUUUUAGAGAUAGAAGAGUGCCUUCGGGAAUUCUGAGA
This 243-nucleotide ribosomal RNA is filed under the name uncultured bacterium. RNAcentral's name for it is "partial 16S ribosomal RNA". It matches the Rfam family "Bacterial small subunit ribosomal RNA", at positions 793 to 1034 of the family's 1533-position model. The record is from RNAcentral.